Molecule: ribosomal RNA, 492 nt
Filed under: uncultured bacterium
Lineage: Bacteria
Description: partial 16S ribosomal RNA
Rfam family: Bacterial small subunit ribosomal RNA
Source: RNAcentral
AUUGAACGCUGGCGGCAUGCUUUACACAUGCAAGUCGAACGGUAGCAGGCCUUCGGGUGCUGACGAGUGGCGCACGGGUGUGUAAUGCAUCGGAACGUACCCAGAGGUGGGGGAUAACGCAGCGAAAGCUGUGCUAAUACCGCAUGUGAUCUGAGGAUGAAAGCGGGGGACCGAGCAGCAAUGUUUGGCCUCGCGCCCUUGGAGCGGCCGAUGUCGGAUUAGCUAGUUGGUGGGGUAAAGGCCUACCAAGGCGACGAUCCGUAGCUGGUCUGAGAGGACGACCAGCCACACUGGGACUGAGACACGGCCCAGACUCCUACGGGAGGCAGCAAUGGGGAAUUUUGGACAAUGGGCGCAAGCCUGAUCCAGCAAUGCCGCGUGCGGGAAGAAGGCCUUCGGGUUGUAAACCGCUUUUGGCAGGAACGAAACGGUGUCCGCUAAUACCGGGCGCUAAUGACGGUACCUGCAGAAUAAGCACCGGCUAACUACGUG